UAAAGAUUAUAAAGUAACGUUUCGCUUUUCAUCGAUUAUUGCAAUUAUGUCAUUAAAGGGUAUAGUUUUUUAUUCAUCUUUUACUUGAAGAAGUAUUACCAAUGUAAGGUCGAGUCUGAAGAAAUCGCAUGCUGUAAGUUUAACAUCCAUUCUAUGCAGUCGACGUGAAAACUCUUCUAACUAAAACAAGUAUUUUUGUAUUCCUGAUUAAAAAUA
This is a long non-coding RNA of Cotesia glomerata, 216 nucleotides long. RefSeq lists it as uncharacterized. The record is from RefSeq and is a predicted model, not a curated record. The transcript is spliced from 2 exons. Lineage: Eukaryota; Metazoa; Arthropoda; Insecta; Hymenoptera; Braconidae.